Molecule: ribosomal RNA, 415 nt
Filed under: uncultured soil bacterium
Lineage: Bacteria
Description: bacterial SSU rRNA
Rfam family: Bacterial small subunit ribosomal RNA
Source: RNAcentral
AGAUUGAACGCUAGCGGGAUGCUUACACAUGCAAGUCGAACGGCAGCGCGGACUUCGGUCUGGCGGCGAGUGGCGAACGGGUGAGUAAUAUAUCGGAACGUGCCCAGUAGCGGGGGGAUAACUACGCGAAAGCGUGGCUAAUACCGCAUACGCCCUACGGGGGAAAGGGGGGGAUUCUUCGGAACCUCUCACUAUUGGAGCGGCCGAUAUCAGAUUAGCUAGUUGGUGAGGUAAGGCUCACCAAGGCCGCGAUCUGUAGCUGGUUUGAGAGGACGACCAGCCACACGUGGGACUGAGACACGGCCCAGACUCCUACGGGAGGCAGCAGGUGGGAAUUUGGACAAGUGGGGGAAACCCUGAUACCAGCCACUCCCGCGUGGUGCGAUGGAACGGUCCGUUACGGGUUAGUAAACGC